GUAAUAGCGAGUAAAGCGGCAAUAGCUUAGAUUUAAAAUCCGGCCCCCCUAUGGGGGCCUAAGUUAUAAUCUUUGGAGGAUGCCUCUAGCGCGGCCCCUUCCGAGUUCCCUAGAACAGGACGCUAUAGAGGGUAAGAGCCCUAUCUAGUCGGCGGCCCGCGCCUCUAUAAGGCUCCUUCGACGAGUCGAGUAGUUUAGGAAUGCUGCUUAAAAUAGGAGGUAUAUAUCUUCUAAAGCUAAAUACCGGCUAGAGACCGAUAGCGCAUAAGUAGAGUGAUCGAAAGAUAAAAAGCACUUUAAAAAGAGGGUUAAAUAGUAUAUAAAAUUAUUAAAAGGGAAGCGCUUGCGACUAGACUCGGCCGCGGCGGAUUACCUAGCGUUCUCGCUAGCGCACUCCGCCGCAGCCAGGCCAGCGUCGGCUCGCUACGGGGGAUAAAGGCGCUAGGAACGUAGCUCCCCUAGGAGUGUUAUAGCCCGGCGCGUAAUGCCCCGCGGCGGGCCGAGGUCCGCGCGUCUGCAAGGACGCUAGCGUAAUAGUCGCUAGCGACCCGUCUUAAAACACGGACUAAGGAGUCGUCCUCAUAUGCGAGUGUUCGGGCGUUAAACCCCUAUGCGAAAUAAAAGUAAAUAUAGGUAGGAGCCUCGUAGUGCACUAUCGACCGAUCCUAAUGUUCUAGAUAGAUUUAAGUAAGAGCAUAUAGGGCCGGACCUAAAAGAAGGUAAACUAUGCCUAUAUAGGGUAAAGCCAGAGGAAACUCUAGUAGAGGUCAUAGCGGUUCUACUAUGCAAAUCGAUCGU
RNAcentral lists this ribosomal RNA (798 nucleotides) under Ophiocordyceps kniphofioides. Its description in RNAcentral is "eukaryotic LSU rRNA". It matches the Rfam family "Eukaryotic large subunit ribosomal RNA", at positions 83 to 905 of the family's 3401-position model. RNAcentral also lists the same sequence under 1 other name. The record is from RNAcentral. Lineage: Eukaryota; Fungi; Ascomycota; Sordariomycetes; Hypocreales; Ophiocordycipitaceae.